AACGAACGCUGGCGGCAUGCCUAACACAUGCAAGUCGAACGAGACCUUCGGGUCUAGUGGCGCACGGGUGCGUAACGCGUGGGAACCUGCCUUUAGGUUCGGAAUAACAGUGAGAAAUUACUGCUAAUACCGGAUGAUGUCUUCGGACCAAAGAUUUAUCGCCUUUAGAUGGGCCCGCGUUGGAUUAGCUAGUUGGUGGGGUAAAGGCCUACCAAGCCGACGAUCUGUAGCUGGUCUGAGAGGACGAUCAGCCACACUGGGACUGAGACACGGCCCAGACUCCUACGGGAGGCAGCAGUGGGGAAUUUUGGACAAUGGGGGCAACCCUGAUCCAGCAAUGCCGCGUGAGUGAAGAAGGCCUCGGUUGUAAGCUCUUUGUCUAGGGAAGGAACAAGCAGCUCUAACACAGUCUGCGAAUGACGGU
This 424-nucleotide ribosomal RNA is filed under the name uncultured bacterium. RNAcentral describes it as "bacterial SSU rRNA". It matches the Rfam family "Bacterial small subunit ribosomal RNA", at positions 29 to 476 of the family's 1533-position model. The record is from RNAcentral.